UCAACUGUAGCUCAGAUAGAGCAUCGGCUUUGCAUGCAGAAGAUCCCUGGUUCAAUUUCCAGGUGGGGCUGAG
This is a non-coding RNA of Podarcis lilfordi (Lilford's wall lizard), 73 nucleotides long. The record is from the annotation of a GenBank genome assembly. NCBI's taxonomy places the organism in Eukaryota, Metazoa, Chordata, Lepidosauria, Squamata, Lacertidae.